This is a long non-coding RNA of Malurus melanocephalus (red-backed fairy wren), 291 nucleotides long. RefSeq lists it as uncharacterized. The transcript is spliced from 3 exons. NCBI's taxonomy places the organism in Eukaryota, Metazoa, Chordata, Aves, Passeriformes, Maluridae. The record is from RefSeq and is a predicted model, not a curated record.
AGCUCAGUGGUCAGCUCGAUGACCGCUGCAGCAAACCCGACCUGGAGGGCAGCUCGCAGCUCCUCAGCAGCGUCCUGGAGGUGCUGGACCGCAAGGAUGUGGGCGCCACCGCUCUGCACGUGCAGCUGAUGAUGGAGCGGCUGCUGCGCCGCGUCAACCGCACCGUCAUCGGGAUGAGCCGCCAGAGCCCGCACAUCGGUAUUUUUGUGGCCUGCAUGACGGCCAUCUUGCGGCAGAUGGACGAUUUCCAUUACAGCCACUACAUCAACACCUUCAAAACGCGGCAGGACA